Molecule: ribosomal RNA, 465 nt
Filed under: uncultured bacterium
Lineage: Bacteria
Description: partial 16S ribosomal RNA
Rfam family: Bacterial small subunit ribosomal RNA
Source: RNAcentral
GAUGAACGCUGGCGGCGUGCUUAACACAUGCAAGUCGAACGAUGAAGCCCAGCUUGCUGGGUGGAUUAGUGGCGAACGGGUGAGUAACACGUGAGUAACCUGCCCUUAACUCUGGGAUAAGCCUGGGAAACUGGGUCUAAUAUCGGAUAGGAGCGCCUACCGCAUGGUGGGUGUUGGAAAGAUUUAUCGGUUUUGGAUGGACUCGCGGCCUAUCAGCUUGUUGGUGAGGUAAUGGCUCACCAAGGCGACGACGGGUAGCCGGCCUGAGAGGGUGACCGGCCACACUGGGACUGAGACACGGCCCAGACUCCUACGGGAGGCAGCAGUGGGGAAUAUUGCACAAUGGGCGAAAGCCUGAUGCAGCGACGCCGCGUGAGGGAUGACGGCCUUCGGGUUGUAAACCUCUUUCAGUAGGGAAGAAGCGAAAGUGACGGUACCUGCAGAAGAAGCACCGGCUAACUACGU